GUCCCAGACUCCUACGGGAGGCAGCAGUGGGGAAUAUUGCACAAUGGGGGAAACCCUGAUGCAGCGACGCCGCGUGAGCGAUGAAGUAUCUCGGUAUGUAAAGCUCUAUCAGCAGGGAAGAAAGUGACAGUACCUGACUAAGAAGCCCCGACUAACUACGUGCCAGCAGCCGCGGUAAUACGUAGGGGGCAAGCGUUAUCCGGAUUCACUGGGCGUAAAGGGAGCGUAGACGGCAGUGCAAGUCUGGAGUGAAAGGCGGGGGCUCAACCCCCGGACUGCUCUGGAAACUGUACGGCUGGAGUGCAGGAGAGGUAAGUGGAAUUCCUAGUGUAGCGGCGAAAUGCGUAGAUAUUAGGAGGAACACCAGUGGCGAAGGCGGCUUACUGGACUGUAACUGACGUUGAGGCUCGAAAGCGUGGGGAGCAAACAGGAUUAGAUACCCUCGUA
RNAcentral lists this ribosomal RNA (447 nucleotides) under uncultured bacterium. RNAcentral's name for it is "bacterial SSU rRNA". It matches the Rfam family "Bacterial small subunit ribosomal RNA", at positions 328 to 792 of the family's 1533-position model. The record is from RNAcentral.